AUUGAACGCUGGCGGCAUGCCUAAUACAUGCAAGUCGAACGGCAGCACAGCAGAGCUUGCUCUGUGGGUGGCGAGUGGCGGACGGGUGAGGAAUACAUGGGAAUCUGCCCAGUCGUGGGGGAUAACGUAUGGAAACGUACGCUAAUACCGCAUGCGCCCUAAGGGGGAAAGCCGGGGACCGCAAGGCCUGGCGCGAUUGGAUGAGCCCAUGUUCGAUUAGCUAGUUGGCGGGGUAAAGGCCCACCAAGGCGACGAUCGAUAGCUGGUCUGAGAGGAUGAUCAGCCACACUGGAACUGAGACACGGUCCAGACUCCUACGGGAGGCAGCAGUAGGGAAUAUUGGACAAUGGGGGCAACCCUGAUCCAGCCAUGCCGCGUGAGUGAAGAAGGCCCUCGGGUUGUAAAGCUCUUUUGUCCGGAAAGAAAAGCAAUCGGUUAAUACCCGGUUGUUCUGACGGUACCGGAAGAAUAAGCACCGGCUAACUUCGUGCC
RNAcentral lists this ribosomal RNA (492 nucleotides) under uncultured bacterium. RNAcentral describes it as "bacterial SSU rRNA". It matches the Rfam family "Bacterial small subunit ribosomal RNA", at positions 30 to 509 of the family's 1533-position model. The record is from RNAcentral.